RNAcentral lists this ribosomal RNA (265 nucleotides) under uncultured bacterium. Its description in RNAcentral is "partial 16S ribosomal RNA". It matches the Rfam family "Bacterial small subunit ribosomal RNA", at positions 524 to 786 of the family's 1533-position model. The record is from RNAcentral.
UACGGAGGGAGCUAGCGUUGUUCGGAAUUACUGGGCGUAAAGCGCACGUAGGCGGCUUUGUAAGUUAGAGGUGAAAGCCCGGGGCUCAACUCCGGAACUGCCUUUAAGACUGCAUCGCUUGAAUCCGGGAGAGGUGAGUGGAAUUCCGAGUGUAGAGGUGAAAUUCGUAGAUAUUCGGAAGAACACCAGUGGCGAAGGCGGCUCUCGUGGGCCCUACCUGACGCUGAGACGCGAAAGCGUGGGGAGCGAACCGGAUUGAGAUACC